AUUGAACGCUGGCGGAAUGCUUUACACAUGCAAGUCGAACGGCAGCACGGACUUCGGUCUGGUGGCGAGUGGCGAACGGGUGAGUAAUGUAUCGGAACGUGCCCAGUCGUGGGGGAUAACGUAGUGAAAAUUACGCUAAUACCGCAUACGAUCUAUGGAUGAAAGCGGGGGAUCGCAAGACCUCGCGCGAUUGGAUGAACCCAGGUGGGAUUAGCUAGUCGGUGGGGUAAUGGCGCACCAAGGCGACGAUCCCUAGCUGGUCUGAGAGGAUGAUCAGCCACGCUGGAGCUGGGACACGGUCCAGGCUCCUACGGGGGGCAGCAGUGGGGAUUUUUGGACAAUGGACGCAAGUCUGAUCCAGCCAUUCCGCGUGCAGGAUGAAGGCCCUCGGGUUGUAAACUGCUUUUGUACAGAACGAAAAGGCUCUGGUUAAUACCUAGGGCUCAUGACGGUACUGUAAGAAUAAGCACCGGCUAACUACGUGCCAGCCGCCGCCGUAA
RNAcentral lists this ribosomal RNA (500 nucleotides) under uncultured bacterium. RNAcentral describes it as "partial 16S ribosomal RNA". It matches the Rfam family "Bacterial small subunit ribosomal RNA", at positions 30 to 523 of the family's 1533-position model. The record is from RNAcentral.